RNAcentral lists this ribosomal RNA (499 nucleotides) under uncultured organism. Its description in RNAcentral is "bacterial SSU rRNA". It matches the Rfam family "Bacterial small subunit ribosomal RNA", at positions 29 to 507 of the family's 1533-position model. The record is from RNAcentral.
AACGAACGCUGGCGGCGUGGAUAAGACAUGCAAGUCGAACGGAACUGUUUUUGUAGCAAUACAGAAGCAGUUUAGUGGCGAACGGGUGCGUAACACGUGGGCAAUCUGCCGAAAAGUGGGGGAUAACUCGCCGAAAGGCGAACUAAUACCGCAUGUGGUUAAGAGAGACAUCUCUCUGACACUAAAGCCGGGGUAACCUGGCGCUUUUUGAUGAGCCCGCGGCCUAUCAGCUUGUUGGUGAGGUAACGGCUCACCAAGGCUAUGACGGGUAGCUGGUCUGAGAGGACGACCAGCCACACUGGAACUGAGACACGGUCCAGACACCUACGGGUGGCAGCAGUCGAGAAUUUUUCUCAAUGGGGGAAACCCUGAAGGAGCGACGCCGCGUGGAGGAUGAAGGUUUUCGGAUUGUAAACUCCUGUCAUUGGGGAACAAUUGCAUAGAUUUAACUGAUCUGUGCUUGAUAGUACCCGAAGAGGAAGAGACGGCUAACUCUGUG